Long non-coding RNA from Rosa chinensis, 344 nucleotides. RefSeq lists it as uncharacterized. NCBI's taxonomy places the organism in Eukaryota, Viridiplantae, Streptophyta, Magnoliopsida, Rosales, Rosaceae. The record is from RefSeq and is a predicted model, not a curated record. The transcript has 4 exons.
UUCUGGAAAUUCUCGCCGGUUUCUGGAAAAUUUCCGGCCACAUUCAUACUGUUCAAGGUGAUUGACGGCCUUCCUUGGUGAGCGGUUGUGGCGUGGUUUGUGAAAUUGAAGACGCAGCGGGAUUAGAGCAGGAAAUCUUGCAGGUUAGGAGAUUCAGGACGGUGAUCGUACGGGUUAGAGUAAUAGUUAUAGUUUUACAGUGUUUGUAAUAGCGAGGUACAUUACAAGGAAGACCCUUAUUAACUAGUCGGAGAAGCUUAAGAGUUGAACAAAUAAAAGAACAUACUUUCUGGGUCUGGUUGGAAGCGGGGUAUUGAUUUCUGCUUCGCUUCGGCUCUGUGCAC